AAGUUUAGGAUAAGGAAUUCAAGCUUUGUGAGUUCAGAAAUGCAACUUUGUUGGGUAACAGAAUUUUUUGCCAGUGAGUUUAGUGACAAAAAUAAUCUUGGAUUGACUCUUCAGAAAGAUUGCAGUAACUUAAAUUUAUUCUCUUCAAAGAGGGUAGAUUCAGUUUAGAAGGUGGUAAUCUAAAGGCAAAAGGAGGCUCUUCCUUCAAAAGUAAUCUGAAGGUUUUUCGGAUUAAAGACGGAUGAAGGUAGCUCUACACUAUCAGCUUCACUUAAUUAAAUUUCCUCCAAACACUUCAUUUCCUCUGAACCCUCCAGCAAGCCACGUAACUUCGAGAAGCCAGAAACAUUCAGAACUGUGAGGGAUUUCAAUUUAUAAAAGGUAUCUGGAAGACAAAUAAGAUUCUUGCAAUUCUUCAAUCCAAAUGAGCAAGGCCAACUAGGCAUCCCAGUGAUGAGGGUAGUUUUGUUAUUGGAGUUUCCUCUAAAUUAAGCACUGACAUUUGCUCCAUGCUUUCCCCAAACUCCGGAAGAUAUUCAAAUUCAGAGCAACCAGAAAGACUUAAAUAUUUCAAGGAACUCAUCUCCAUUUUACUUGGAAGAGUUUUGAGCCUUUUGCAGUCUUCCAAAUUCAUCAUAACAGGUUUCUUAUGACGUACAAGGGAUGGAUGAACCUCCGUUAAACUUGUGCAUCCUUCAAGAACCAAUGAUUCAAGAUUUGGAGCCCCGUCAAAGUCCGGGGACUGCUUUAGGUUCUUUGAAAAACUCAAAUCGAUAGACUUCAGCUUUUCCAGAAGCUGUUCAAAAUUAAUAUGGUGGAAACAAAAACUACAUUAGCUUUCGGAGUUACUAUGGUGAUGGCAAUUUUUUUUAGAUAAAUGGUGUUUAGCUUUAGCUGGUGAUUUUACUCAUACUGUUGUAAAGGGUUCAAGAUGUUAAUGAUAUCGACCUCUGGAAGAACCUAGUGGUCUUAGGCUCAGUCAGCCUUGAUGGACUUACUUGUUUUGUUGCUUUUAUUUGAAUGGGUGAAAUAAUUAGACCUUAAUAUAAAAAGAGGAGUUUACUUUAAUAUCUUGAUUCACAUUAGCACGGAUCAUCUCAAUAAAACAUGCAAAAGGGUUGAGUUCAAACUGCAAAUAUGGAGAAUGAGAAGUUUCUAUACAAAUAACAAGACAUACGUAAUUACAUGACAAGUUUUUAGAUAAUUCGCACCUUCUCACUGGCCACUCCGAUCUCUUCACUAGAAGAAAUGAUACUAUUUUCAUAAAUAUCUUCAACAUCUUGCUUACAUACCAAACGACAUCCGCACCUCACUAUUUCCAAUGAUUGGCAACAAUAACUUUUCAAUACAAAUUCAAUUUCACUGCCGACAACACCUUCACAAAUCAUGUCACGGUAUUUAUCAAUGGACAAGUAGAGAAUAUAAAGGUGAGGGCAAUCUAGCUCCAUGGGAGGUAAAUUCCUGGAACUGAUAAUCGUCUUACCAUUAGGUCCAAACAAGUAGCACUCAACUUCAUGAUGGCACGCCUCAGGAGGAUUUGCAUAACUUACUAAUAGGAAGCACAGAGCAAAUCCCACCCAUUCAUUUACAGGGCAAUUAUGAGGGACUGGUAUUUUAGCUAAUGAAACACAUUUUUGAGGGACAAACCAUGAUGGAAUUUCACUCCCUGGGAUUAACAUCUCAAAUCUUGUUCUGGGAAGAGGGAGUUCCUGUAUGAAUUAACACACCAAAUGUAAUGUUGAAUAAGCAACAAGAUGGAUGAUUAUGUUACACGCACGCACACACAAACACAAUUUUAGAAUGUGGGGAAGACCAGAGUACACACCUCAAGAUAGCGUAUCAAUUCUCUCGAAAAAUGAAAAUUUGAAGGUGAUGAUGCAAAGAGACUGCAUGGCUUGGAUGGAUUGAAUUUGGAAGUUUCCAAUGAAGUGCAAUUGCUUGCAUCCAAAUGUUUCAUUCUUGAAGGGAGCUCUGGCAACCUUUUAAGUUUUUUGCACAAGUUUAGGAGAAGAAUUUCAAGCUUUGUGAGGUUCGAAAUGCAACUUGGUAGGGUAACAAAAUUGUUGCCAGUGAGAUCUAGAAACUGCAAUGAAGAUAAGUGACGAAAACCAUCUGGGAAUGACUCUUCAGAUAGAUUGCAGUAACUUAAAUUUAUUCUCAUCAAAGAGGGUAGAUUCAGUUUAGAAGGUGGUAAUCUAAAUGCAGUAGGAGUUUGUUGAUUCCCAAAUACCCACUGAAAGGGGAGAAGAAAUCCACUUACUGAGUUAGAUACUGGCUUUUUG
RNAcentral lists this long non-coding RNA (2282 nucleotides) under Glycine max (soybean). Its description in RNAcentral is "long non-coding RNA (GMAX_LNC003612)". The record is from RNAcentral. Lineage: Eukaryota; Viridiplantae; Streptophyta; Magnoliopsida; Fabales; Fabaceae.